GUGCCAGCCGCCGCGGUAAUACGGAGGGUCCAAGCGUUAUCCGGAAUCAUUGGGUUUAAAGGGUCCGUAGGCGGUCUUAUAAGUCAGUGGUGAAAUCUCCUAGCUCAACUAGGAAACUGCCAUUGAUACUGUAAGACUUGAAUACUUGUGAAGUAACUAGAAUAUGUAGUGUAGCGGUGAAAUGCUUAGAUAUUACAUGGAAUACCAAUUGCGAAGGCAGGUUACUAACAAGUUAUUGACGCUGAUGGACGAAAGCGUGGGGAGCGAACAGGAUUAGAAACCCUAGUAGUCC
This 292-nucleotide ribosomal RNA is filed under the name uncultured bacterium. RNAcentral's name for it is "partial 16S ribosomal RNA". It matches the Rfam family "Bacterial small subunit ribosomal RNA", at positions 505 to 796 of the family's 1533-position model. The record is from RNAcentral.